Molecule: ribosomal RNA, 253 nt
Filed under: uncultured bacterium
Lineage: Bacteria
Description: partial 16S ribosomal RNA
Rfam family: Bacterial small subunit ribosomal RNA
Source: RNAcentral
UACGAAGGGGGCUAGCGUUGUUCGGAAUCACUGGGCUUAAAGGGCGCGUAGGCGGGCAAGCAAGUCGAAGGUGAAAUCCCACGGCUCAACCGUGGAAGUGCCCCCGAUACUGCUUGUCUUGAGGGAGAUAGGGGCGUGCGGAACUUCCGGUGGAGCGGUGAAAUGCGUAGAUAUCGGAAGGAACACCGGUGGCGAAAGCGGCGCGCUGGAUCUCUUCUGACGCUGAGGCGCGAAAGCCAGGGGAGCAAACGGG